GACGAACGCUGGCGGCGUGCUUAACACAUGCAAGUCGAACGGAAAGGCCCAGCUUGCUGGGUGCUCGAGUGGCGAACGGGUGAGUAACACGUGGGUGAUCUGCCCCUAACUUCGGGAUAAGCUUGGGAAACUGGGUCUAAUACCGGAUAGGACAAUCGUUUAGUGUCGGUUGUGGAAAGUUUUUUCGGUUAGGGAUGAGCCCGCGGCCUAUCAGCUUGUUGGUGGGGUAAUGGCCUACCAAGGCGUCGACGGGUAGCCGGCCUGAGAGGGUGGAGGGCCAGAUUGGGACUGGGAUACGGCCCAGACUCCUACGGGAGGCAGCAGUGGGGAAUAGUGCACAAUGGGCGCAAGCCUGAUGCAGUGACGCCGCGUGGGGGAUGACGGCCUUAGGGUUGUAAACCUCUUUCGACAGGGACGAAGCUUUGGUGACGGUACCUGUAUAAGAAGCACCGGCUAACUACGUGCCAGCCGCCGCCGUAA
This 480-nucleotide ribosomal RNA is filed under the name uncultured bacterium. RNAcentral's name for it is "partial 16S ribosomal RNA". It matches the Rfam family "Bacterial small subunit ribosomal RNA", at positions 28 to 523 of the family's 1533-position model. The record is from RNAcentral.